Small nuclear RNA from Erinaceus europaeus (western European hedgehog), 106 nucleotides. The record is from Ensembl. NCBI's taxonomy places the organism in Eukaryota, Metazoa, Chordata, Mammalia, Eulipotyphla, Erinaceidae.
GCACUCGUUUCAGCAGUACAUAUGCUAAAAUUGGAACGCUACAGGGAAGACUAGCAUGGCCCUGCACAAGGAUGACAUACAAAUUCCUGAAGCAUUCCAUGUUUGA